This 495-nucleotide ribosomal RNA is filed under the name uncultured bacterium. RNAcentral's name for it is "partial 16S ribosomal RNA". It matches the Rfam family "Bacterial small subunit ribosomal RNA", at positions 28 to 507 of the family's 1533-position model. The record is from RNAcentral.
GACGAACGCUGGCGGCGUGCCUAAUACAUGCAAGUAGAACGCUGAAGGAGGAGCUUGCUUCUCUGGAUGAGUUGCGAACGGGUGAGUAACGCGUAGGUAACCUGCCUGGUAGCGGGGGAUAACUAUUGGAAACGAUAGCUAAUACCGCAUAAGAGUAGAUGUUGCAUGACAUUUGCUUAAAAGGUGCAAUUGCAUCACUACCAGAUGGACCUGCGUUGUAUUAGCUAGUUGGUGGGGUAACGGCUCACCAAGGCGACGAUACAUAGCCGACCUGAGAGGGUGAUAGGCCACACUGGGACUGAGACACGGCCCAGACUCCUACGGGAGGCAGCAGUAGGGAAUCUUCGGCAAUGGACGGAAGUCUGACCGAGCAACGCCGCGUGAGUGAAGAAGGUUUUCGGAUCGUAAAGCUCUGUUGUAAGAGAAGAACGAGUGUGAGAGUGGAAAGUUCACACUGUGACGGUAGCUUACCAGAAAGGGACGGCUAACUACGUG